GUUGUGUUUGAACUUGAGUUUGUGGCGUUUGUUGAACUUGAGUUUCUGUUGUUUUUGAACUUGAAUUUGUGUCGUGUUUGAACUUGAGUUUGUGGCGUUUGUUGAAUUUGAGUUUGUGUCGUGUCUGAACUUGAGUUUGUGGUGUUUUUGAACUUGAGUUUUCUGGUGUUUUUGAACUUGAGGGUGUGGAAUUUGUUAAACUUGAGAAUUGGGUAUUGGUUUAACUUGAGUUUGUGUGUUUGUUGAACUUGAGUUUGUGUCAAGUUUGAACUUGAGUUUGUGGUGUUUUUUAACUUGAUUUUGUGUGUUUGUUGAACUUGAGUUUGUGUUUGAACUUGAGUUUGUGGUGUUUUUGAACUUGAGUUUGUGUCGUGUUUUGAACUUGAGGUAUUGGAAAUUGUUAAACCUUUGAAUCAGGUGUUGGUUGAACUUGAGUUUGUGUGUUUGUUGAACUUGAGUUUGUGUCAUAUUUGAACUUUAGCUUGUGGUGUUUUUGAACUUGAGUUUGUGUGUUUGAACUUGAGGUUGUGGUGUUUUUGGACUUGAGUUUGUGUCGUGUUUAAACUUGAGGGUGUGGAAUUUGUUUAACUUGACAAUUUGGUAUUGGUUGAACUUGAGUUUGUGGGGUUUUUCUGAACUUGAGUUUGUGGAAAUUGUUUAACUUGAGAAUCAGGUGUUGGAUGAACUUGAGUUAGUGUUUGUUGAACUUGAGUUUGUGUUGUGUUGGAACUUAAGUUUUUGGUGUUUUUGAUCUUGAGUUUAUGUGCUUGUUGAACUUGAGUUUGUGUUUUUUUUUAACUUGAGUUUGUUUCAUGUUUGAACUUGAGUUUUUGGUGUUUUUGAACUUGAAUUUUUGGUGUUUUUGAAAUUGAGCUUGUGGAAGUUGUUAAACUUGAGAAUUGGGUAUUGGUUGAACUUGAGUUUUUUGUGUUUUUGAACUUGAGUUUGUGUCGUGUUUGAACUUGAGUUUAUGGUGUUUUUGAACUUGAGUUUGUGGUGUUUUUGAACUUGAGGUUGUGGAAAUUGUUAAACUUGAGAAUUGGGUAUUGGUUGAACUGAUUUUUUUGUGUUUUUGAUCUUGAUUUUGUGUUGUGUUUGAACUUGAGUUUAUGGGUUUUUUUAACUUGAAUUUGCAUGUUUGGUGAACUUGAGUUUUCGUGUUUGUUUGAACUUGAGUUUCUGUUUUUUUGAACUUGAGUUUUUGGUGGUCUUGAGCUUGAGGUUGUGGAAAUUGUUAAACCUUAUAAUCGGGUAUUGGUUGAACUUGAGUUUGUUUGUUUUUUGAACUUGAGUUUGUGGUGUGUUUGAACUUGAGUUUGUGGUGUUUAUGAACUUGAGUUUGUGUGUUUGUUUAACUUGAGUUUGUGUUGUUUUUGAACUUGAGUUUUUGGUGGUCUUGAACUUGAGGUUGAGGAAAUUGUUAAACUUGAGAAUUGGGUAUUGGUUGAACUUGCGUUUUUUGUGUUUUUAAAUUGGGUUUGUGUAGUGUUUGAACCUGAGUUUGUGGUGUUUUUGAACUUGAAGUUGUGUUUAUUUUUAACUUGAGGGUGUGAAAUUUUUUAAAGUUGAGAAUCGGGUUUUGGUUGAACUUGAGUUUGUGGUGUUUUUGAACUUGAGUUUGUCCGUGUUAGAACUUGAGUUUUUGGCGUUUGUUGAACUUGAGUUUCUGUUGUUUUUGAACUUGAGUUUGUGUCGUGUUUGAACUUGAGUUUGUGUGUUUGUUGAACUUGAGUUUGUGUUAUGUUUGAACUUGAGUUUGUGUCGUGUAUGAACUUGAGUUUGUGUCGUGUUUUUGAACUUGAGUUUUUGGUGUUUUUGAACUUGAGGGUGUGGAAUUUGUUAAACUUGAGAAUUGGGUAUUGGUUGAAUUUGAGUUUGUGUGUUUGUUGAAAUUGAGUUUGUGUCAUGUUUGAACUUGAGUUUGUGGUCUUUUUGAACUUGAGUUUGUGUGUUUGUUGAACUUGAGUUGUGGCGUUUUUUUAAACUCUAGGUUGUGGCAAUUGUUAAACUUGAGAUUUGGUUGUUGGUUGAACUUGAGUUUGUGUCGUGUUUGAACUUGAGUUCGUGUUGUUUGUUGAACUUGAAUUUGUGUGUUUUUUGAACUUAAUUUUUUGAACUUGAGUUUGUGGCAAUUGUUGAACUUGAGUCUGUGGUUUUUGGUGAACUUUAAUUGGUGGUGUUUUUGAACUUGAGUUUUUGGUGUUUUUGAACUUGAGUUUGUUUCGGGUUUGAACUUUGUUUGUGGUGUUUUUGAACUUGAGUUUUUGAUGUUUUUGAACUUGAGGGUGUGUUGUGUUUUUGAACUUGAGUUUGUGGUGUUUUUGAACUUGAGUUUGUUUCGUGUUUGAACUUGAGUUUGUGGCGUUUGUUGAACUCUAGGUUGUGGCAAUUGUUGAACUUGAGAUUUGGGUGUUGGUUCAACUUAAAAGUUUGGCAUUUGUUGAACAUGAGUUUGUGUGUUUGUUGAACUUAAGUUUGUGUCUUGUUUGAACUUAAGUUUGUGUCUUGUUUGAACUUGAGUUUGUGGUGUUUUCAAACUUGAGUUUUUGGUGUCUUUGAACUUGAGUUUUUGGUGUUUUUGAACUUGAGUUUGAAUCGUGUUUGAACUUGAGUUUGUGGUGUUUUUGAACUUGAGUUUGUGGUGUUUUUGAACUUGAGGUGUUGGAAAUUGUGAAACUUGAGAAUUGGGUAUUGGUUGAACUUGAGUGUGUUUUUUGAACUUGAGGUUGUGGUGUUUUUGAACUUGAGUUUGUGGUGUUUUGUACUUGAGUUUGUGUUAUUUUUCAACUUGAGGUUGUGGAACUUGUUAAACUUGAGAAUCAGGUGUUGAUUGAACUUGAGUAUUUGUUUUUUUUUAACUUGAGUUUGUGUCGUGUUUGAGCUCGAGUUUGUGGUGUUUUUGAAUUUGAGUUUGCGUGUUUGUUAAACUUGAGUUUGUGUUUUUUUUAACUUGAGUUUGUUGUUUCUGAACUUGAGUUUGUGGCAAUUGUUUAACUUGAGUUUGACAUUUGUUGAACUUGGGUUUGUGGUUUUUGUUGAACUUGAGUUUGUGGUGUUUUUGAACUUGAGGUUGUGGAAUUUGUUAAACUUGAGAAUUGGGUAUUGGUUGAAAUUGAGUUUGUGUGUUUGUUGAACUUGAGUUUGUGUCGUGUUUGAACUUGAGUUUAUGGUUUUUUUGAACUUGAGUUUGUGGUGUUUUUGAACUUGAGGUUUUUAGAAAUUGUUGAACUUGAAAAUUUGGUAUUGGAUGAACUUGAGUUUGUGUGUUUGUUGAACUUGAGUUUGUGUCGUGUUUGAACUUUGGUUUGUGGUGUUUUUUGAGCCUGAGGUUUGUGGUGUUUUUGAACUUGAGUUUGUGUUGCUUUUGAACUUUAGGUUGUGGCAAUUUCUAAAAUUGAGAUUUGGGUGUUGGUUGAACUUAAAAGUUUGUCAUUUGUUGAACUUGAGUUUGUGGUUUUUGUUGAACUUGAGUUUGUGUCGUGUUUGAACUGUAGGUUGUGGUUUUUUUGAGCUCGAGUAUUUGUGAUUGUUGAACUUAAGUUUUUGGUGUGUUUGAACUUGAGUUUGUGUUUUUUUUUAAGUUGAGGUUGUGGUUUUUUGAACUUCAGUUUGUGGAAAUUGUUAAACUUGAGGAUUGGGUGGUGGUUGAACUUGAGUUUGUGGUGUUUUUAGAACUUGAGGUUGUGGUGUUUUUGACUUGAGUUCGUGGCGUGUUUGAACUUCAGUUUGUGGAAAUUGUUAAACUUGAGGAUUGGGUGUUGGUUGAACUUGAGUUUGUGGUGUUGUUUGAACUUGAGUUUGUGGUGUUUUUUGAGCUUGAGGUUGUGGUGUUUUUGAGCUUGAGUUUGUGGCAUGUUUGAACUUGAGGUUGUGGAAAAAUGUAAACUUGAGAUUUGGGUGUUGAUUGAAGUUGAGUUUGUUUCGUGUUUGAUCUUGAGGUUGUGGUGUUUUUGAACUUGAGGUUUCUUGUUUGUUUAACUUGAGUUUGUGUGUUUUUUGAACUUGAGUUUGUUGUUUCUGAACUUGAGGUUUUGGCAAUUGUUGAACUUGAGUCUGUGGUUUUUAGUGAACUUUAGUUGGUUGCAAUUGUUGAACAUGAGUUUAUGGCGUUUGUUGAACUUGAGUUUGUGACGUGGAUGAACUUGAGUUUGUGUUAUUUUUGAACUUGAGGUUGUGGCAAUUUCUAAAAUUGAGAAUUGGGUGUUGGUUGAACUCAAAAGUUUGACAUUUGUUGAACUUGAGUGUGGUUUUUGUUGAACUUGAGUUUGUUUCGUGUUUGAACUUGAGGUUGUGGUGUUUUUGAACUUGAGGUUUCUUGUUUGUUUAACUUGAGUUUUUGGCGUGUUUGAACUUGAGUUUGUGGUUUUUUUAACUUGAGGUUGUGGUUUUUUGAACUUCAGUUUGUGGAAAUUUUUAAAAUUGAGGAUUGGGUGGUGGUUGAACUUGAGUUUGUGGUGUUUUUUUAACUUGAGGUUGUGGUGUUUUUGACUUGAGUUCGUGGCGUGUUUGAACUUGAGGUUGUUGCAAUUGUUAAACUUGAGAUUUGGGUGUAUGUUGAACUCCAGUUUGUGUUGUGUUUGAACUUGAGGUUGUGGUAUUUUUGAAUUGAGUUUGUGGCGGUUUUUGAACUUGAGUUUGUGGCGUGUUUGAACUUGAGAUUGUGGCGUGUUUGAACUUGAGUUUGUGGUGGUUUUUGAACUUGAGGUUGUGAAAAUUGUUAAAACUUGAGAAUUAGGUGUUGGUUGAACUUGAGUUUGUGGGGUUUUUUUAGCUUGAGUUUGUGGUUUUUGUUGAACUUGAGUUUGUGUCGUUUUUGAGCUUGAGGUUGUGGUGUUUUUAAACUUGAGUUUGCGUGUUUGUUUAACUUGAGUUUGUGUGUUUUUUUAACUUGAGUUUGUUGUUUCUGAAGUUGAGGUUUUGGCAAUUGUUGAACUUGAGUCUGUUGUUUUUAGUGAACUUUAGUUGGUGGCAAUUGUUGAACUUGAGUUUGUGGCAUUUGUUAAACUUGAGUUUGUGACGUGUUUAAACAUGAUUUUGUGGUGUUUUUGAACUCGAGUUUGUGGUAUUGGUUGAACUUGAGGUUGUGGAAAUUGUUAAACUUGAGAAUUGGGUAUUGGUUGAACUUUAGUUUGUGUGUUUGUUGAACUUGAGUUUGUGUCGUGUUUGAACUUCAGUUUGUGGUGUUUUUGAACUCGAGUUUUUGUGUUUAUUGAACUUCAGUUUGUGUCGUGUUUGAACUUGAGUUUGUGGUGUUUUUUGAACUUGAGGUUGUGUGUUUUUUUGAACUUGAGUUUGUGGCGGUUUUUGAACUUGAGGUUGUGGCAAUUGUUGAACUUGAGUUUGUGACGUGUUUGAACUUGAUUUUGUGGUGUUUUUGAACUUGAGUUUGUGGUGUUUUUGAACUUGAGUUCGUGGUGUUUGUGGAAUUUGAGUUUGUGUCCUGUUUGAACUUGAGGUUGUGGUGUUUUUCAACUCGAGUUUUUGUGUUUGUUGAACUUCAGUUUGUGUCGUGUUUGAACUUGAGUUUGUGGUGUUUUUUGAACUUGAGUUUGUGGUGUUUUUUGAACUUGAGGUUGUGGUGUUUUUGAACUUGAGUUUGAGGCGGUGUUUGAACUUGAGGUUGUUGCAAUUGUUAAACUUGAGAUUCGGGUGUUGGUUGAACUUAAAACUUUGCCAUUUGUUGAACUUGAGUUUGUGGUGUAUGUUGAACUCCAGCUUGUGUUGUGUUUGAACCUGAGUUUGUGGCGGUUUUUGAACUUGAGUUUGUGGCGUGUUUGAACUUGAGAUUGUGGCGUGUUUGAACUUGAGUUUGUGGUGGUUUUUGAACUUGAGGUUGUGAAAAUUGUUAAAACUUGAGAAUCAGGUGUUGGUUGAACUUGAGUUUGUGGUUUUUGUUGAACUUGAGUUUGUGGUUUUUGUUGAACUUGAGUUUGUGUCGUGUUUGAACUUGAGGUUGUGGUGUUUUUGAACUUGAGGUUUCUUGUUUGUUUAACUUGAGUUUGUGUGUUUUUUGAACUUGAGUUUGUUGUUUCUGAACUUGAGGUUUUGGCAAUUGUUGAACUUGAGUCUGGUUUUUAGUGAAAUUUAGUUGGUUGCAAUUGUUGAACAUGAGUUUAUGGCGUUUGUUGAACUUCAGUUUGUGACGUGGAUGAACUUGAGUUUGUGUUAUUUUUGAACUUGAGGUUGUGGCAAUUUCUAAAAUUGAGAAUUGGGUGUUGGUUGAACUUAAAAGUUUGACAUUUGUUGAACUUGAGUUUGUGUGUUUGUUGAACUUGAGUUUGUGUCGUGUUUGAACUUGAGGUUGUGGUUUUUUUGAACUCGAGUUUUUGUGUUUGUUGAACUUCAGUUUGUGGAAAUUUUUAAACUUGAGGAUUGGGUGGUGGUUGAACUUGAGUUUGUGGUGUUUUUUGAACUUGAGGUUGUGGUGUUUUUGACUUGAGUUCGUGGCGUGUUUGAACUUGAGGUUGUCGCAAUUGUUAAACUUGAGAUUUGGGUGUUGGUUGAACUUAAAACUUUGCCAUUUGUUGAACUUGAGUUUGUGGUGUAUGUUGAACUCCAGCUUGUGUUGUGUUUGAACUUGAGGUCGUGGUAUUUUUGAAUUGAGUUUGUGGAGGUUUUUGAACUUGAGUUUGUGGCGUGUUUGAACUUUAGAUUGUGGCGUGUUUGAACUUGAGUUUGUGGUGGUUUUUGAACUUGAGGUUGUGAAAAUUGUUAAAACUUGAGAAUCAGGUGUUGGUUGAACUUGAGUUUGUGGUUUUUGUUGAACUUGAUUUUGUGCUUUGAUUGAACUUUAGUUUAUGUUUUUUUUGUACUUGAGUUUGUGUUGUUUUUGAACUUGAGGUUGUGGAAAUUGUAAAAACUUGAGAAUCAGGUGUUGGUUGACUUGAGUUUGUGGUUUUUGUUGAACUUGAGUUUGUGUGUUUUUUUAACUUGAGUUUGUUGUUUCUGAACUUGAGGUUUUGGCAAUUGUUGAACUUGAUAAUUGGGUAUUGGUUGAACUUGAGUUUGUGUGUUUGUUGAACUUGAGUUUGUGUCGUGUUUGAACUUCAGUUUGUGGUGUUUUUUGAACUUGAGGUUGUGGUGUUUUUGAACUUGAGUUUUUGGUGUUUUUGAACUUGAGGUUGUGGCAAUUGUUGAACUUCAGUUUGUGACGUGUUUGAACUUGAUUUUGUGGUGUUUUUGAACUCGACUUUGUUUUGUUUUUGAACUUGAGUUCGUGGUGUUUGUUGAACUUGAGUUUGUGUCGUGUUUGAACUUGAGGUUGUGGUGUUUUUGAACUCGAGUUUUUGUGUUUGUUGAACUUCAGUUUGUGUCGUGUUUGAACUUGAGUUUGUGGUGUUUUUUGAACUUGAGGUUGUGGUGUUUUUGAACUUGAGUUUGUGGCGGUUUUUGAACUUGAGGUUGUUGCAAUUGUUGAACUUGAAAUAAAAACCCAAAUAUGAACCCAAAUAUAUAUUUUUUCUUUUUACAUUUUUUUGGUGUAACCAACUCCAAAAGGUCUUAAACAUGUUCCUAAAAAGGUUUUGGACAGUGAUUUUAACCCUAACACCAAAAACCUUAAACCUUACCCUAGCCCCAAAACCUAAUACCCGGGUAUUACCUUCAGGAAGCCCGAACACCCCAAAUAUUUUUUUUUCUUUUUUUUUUUUUUCUAACUAACUCCCAAAGGUCUGAAACAUGUUCCUUAAAAAAUAUUGGACAGUUAUUUUGACCCUAACGCCAAAAACCUUAAACCUAACCCUGGCCCCAAAACCACCCGGGUAUUACCUUCAGGAAGCCCGAACACCCCAAAUAUUUUUUUUUCAUUUAUCUUUUUUUUUUUUGUCUAACUUUAUCCCAAAGGUUGGAAAAGAAUUCCUACAAUGGUUUUGGACAGUGAUUUUUACCCUCACGCCCAAAAACCUUAAACCUUACCCUAGCCCCAUAACCUAAUACCCGGGUAUUACCUUCAGGAAGCCCGAAGACCCCAAAUAUAUAUUUUUAUUUUCAUUUUUUUUUUCGUCUAACUAACUCCAAAAGGUCUGAAACAUGUUCCUUAAAAAAUAUUGGAGAGUGAUUUUAACCCUUACGCCAAAAACCUUAAACCUAAUCCUAGCCCCAUAACCAAAUACUUAAACCUGAAGGGUAUUACCUUCAGGAAGCCCGAACACCCCAAAUAUUUUUUUUGUCAUUUUACAUUUUUUUUUUGGUGUAACCAACUCCAAAAGGUCUUAAACAUGUUCCUUAAAAGGGUUUGGACAGUGAUUUUAACCCUAACGCCAAAAACCUUAAACCUUACCCUAGCCCCAAAACCUAAUACCUUCAGGAAGCCCGAAAACCCCAAAUAUUUUUUUUCUUUUUUCUUUUUUUUUUGGUCUAACUAACUCCAAAAGGUCUGAAACAUGUUCCUUAAAAAAUAUUGGACAGUGAUUUUAACCCUAACGCAAAAAACCUUAAACCUAAUCCUAGCCCCAAAACCUAAUACCCGGGUAUUACCUUCAGGAAGCCCGAACACCCCAAAUAUUUUUUUUUCAUUUAGCUUUUUUUUUUUGUCUAACUUAAUCCCAAAGGUUGGAAAAGAGUUCCUACAAAGGUUUUGGACAGUGAUUUUUACCCUCACGCCCAAAAACCUUAAACCUUACCCUAGCCCCAUAACCUAAUACCCGGGUAUUACCUUCAGGAAGCCCGAACACCCCAAAUAUAUAUAUAUAUUUUCUUUUUUUUUUGUCUAACUAACUCCAAAAGGUCUGAAACAUGUUCCUUAAAAAAUAUUGGACAGUGAUUUUAACCCUGACGCCAAAAACCUUAAACCUAAUCCUAGCCCCAUAACCUAAUACUUAAACCUGAAGGGUAUUACCUUCAGGAAGCCCGAACACCCCAAAUAUUUUUUUUGUCAUUUUACAUUUUUUUUGGUGUAACCAACUCCAAAAGGUCUGAAUCUCUUUCCUUAAACGGUUUUGGACAGUGAUUUUAACCCUAACGCCAAAAACCUUAAACCUUACCCUAGCCCCAAAACCUAAUACCUUCAGGAAGCCCGAAAACCCCAAAUAUUUUUUUCCUUUUUCUUUUUUUUGGUCUAACUAACUCCAAAAGGUCUGAAACAUGUUCCUUAAAAAAUAUUGGACAGUGAUUUUAACCCUCACGCCAAAAACCUUAAACCUAAUCCUAGCCCCAAAACCUAAUACCCGGGUAUUACCUUCAGGAAGCCCGAACACCCCAAAUAUUUAUUUUUCAUUUUUUUAUUGGUCUAACUAACUCCAAAAGGUUGGAAAAGACUUCCUACAAAGGUUUUGGACAGUGAUUUUAACCCUCACGCCAAAAACCUUAAACCUUACCCUAGCCCCAUAACCUAGGGUAAAGCCCCUUUACCUAAUACCCGGGUAUUACCUUCAGGAAGCCCGAACACCCCAAAUACUUUUUUUUCAUUUAUCUUUUUUUUUGUCUAACUAACUCCAAAAGGUUGGAAAAGACUUCCUACAAAAGACUAACUCCAAAAGGUUGGAAAAGACUUCCUACAAAGGUAAUACAAAGUAUUACCUUCAGGAAGCCCGAACACCCCAAAUAUAUAUAUAUUUUUUUCUUUUUUUUUUGGUCAAACUAGCUCCAAAAAGUCUGAAACAUGUUCCUUAAAAAUAUUGGACAGUGAUUUUAACCCUAACGCCAAAAACAUUAAACCUAAUCCUAGCCCCAUAACCUAAUAAUUAAACCUGAAGGGUAUUACCUUCAGGAAGCCCGAACACCCCAAAUAUUUUUUUUUCAUUUAUCUUUUUUUUUUUUUGUCUAACUAACUCCAAAAGGUCUGAAAAGAGUUCCUACAAAGGUUUUGGACGGUGAUUUUAACCCUUAAACCUUACCCUAGCCCCAUAACCUAAUACCCGGGUAUUACCUUCAGAAGCCCAAAAACCCCCCAAAUUUUUUUUUUAUUUUUCGUUAGUUUUUGCUCUAACUAACUCCAACCUUACCUUCAGGAAGCCCGAACACCCCCAAAAAUUUUUUUUUCAUAUUACAUUUUUUUUGGUGUAACCAACUCCAAAAGGUCUGAAACAUGUUCCUAAAAAGGUUUUGGACAGUGAUUUUAACCCUUACGCCAAAAACCUUAAACCUUACCCUAGCCCCAUAACCUAAUACCCGGGUAUUACCUUCAGGAAGCCCGAACACCCCAAAUAUUUUUUUUUCAUUUAUCUUUCUUUUUUUUGUCUACCUAACUCCAAAAGUUUGGAAAAGACUUCCUACAAAGGUUUUGGACAGUGAUUUUAACCCUAACACCAAAAACCUUAAACCUUACCCUAGCCCCAAAACCUAAUACCUGGGUAUUACCUUCAGGAAGCUUGAACACCCCAAAUAUUUUUUUUUCAUUUUACAUUUUUUUUGGUGUUACCAACUCCAAAAGGUCUUAAACAUGUUCCUAAAAAGGUUUUGGACAGUGAUUUUAAACCUAACGCCAAAAACCUUAAACCUUACCCUAGCCCCAUAACCUAAUACCUGGGUAUUUCCUUCAGGAAGCCCGAAGACCCCAAAUAUAUUUUUUCAUUUUUUUUUUUUUUUUGGUCUAACUAACUCCAAAAGGUCUGAAAAGAGUUCCUACAAAGGUUUUGGACGGUGAUUUUAACCCUUAAACCUUACCCUAGCCCCAUAACCUAAUACCCGGGUAUUACCUUCAGAAGCCCAAAAACCCCAAAUAUAUAUUUUUUAUUUUCCGUUAGUUUUUGCUCUAACUAACUCCAAAAGGUUGGAAAAGACUUCCUACAAAGGUUUUGGACAGUGAUUUUAACCCUAACGCCAAAAACCUUAAACCUUACUAUAGCCCCAUAACCUAAUACCCGGGUAUUACCUUCAGGAAGCUUGAACACCCCAAAUAUUUUUUUUUCAUUUUACAUUUUUUUUGGUGUAACCUACUCCAAAAGGUCUGAAACAUGUUCCUAAAAAGGUUUUGGACAUUGAUUUUAACCCUAACGCCAAAAACCUUAAACCUAAUCCAAGCCCCAUAAACUAAUACCUGGGUAUUUCCUUCAGGAAGCCCGAAGACCCCAAAUAUAUUUUUUUCUUUUUUCUUUUUUUUUGGUCUAACUAACUCCAAAAGGUUGGAAAAGAGUUCCUACAAAGGUUUUGGACAGUGAUUUUAACCCUAACACCAAAAACAUUAAACCUUACCCUAGCCCCAAAACCUAAUACCCAGGUAUUACCUUCUGGAAGCCCGAACACCCCAAAUAUUUUUUUUUUCAUUUUACAUUUUUUUUUGGUGUAACCAACUCCAAAAGGUCUUAAACAUGUUCCUAAAAAGGUUUUGGACACUGAUUUUAACUCUAACGCCAAAAACCUUAAACCUUACCCUAGCCCCAUAACCUAAUACCUGGGUAUUACCUUCAGGAAACCCGAACACCCCAAAUAUUUUUUUUUUCUUUUUCUUUUUUUUUUGUCUAACUAACUCCCAAAGGUCUGAAACAUGUUCCUUAAAAAAUAUUGGACAGUUAUUUUAACCCUAACGCCAAAAACCUUAAACCUAACCCUAGCCCCAAAACCUAAUACCCGGGUAUUACCUUCAGGAAGCCCGAACACCCCAAAUAUAUAUUUUUUAUUUUUCUUUAUUUUUGGUCUUACUUGCUCUCAAAGGUUGGAAAAGAGUUCCUACAAAGGUUUUGGACAUUGAUUUUAACCCUAACGCCAAAAACCUUAAACAUUACCCUAGCCCAGAAACCUAGUAUUACCUUCAGGAAGCCCGAACACCCAAAAAAAUUUUUUUUUCAUUUUACAUUUUUUUUGGUGUAACCAACUCCAAAAGGUCUGAAACAUGUUCCUAAAAAGGUUUUGGACAGUGAUUUUAACCCUUACGCCAAAAACCUUAAACCUUACCCUAGCCCCAUAACCUAAUACCCGGGUAUUACCUUCAGGAAGCCCGAACACCCCAAAUAUUUUUUUUUCAUUUAUCUUUUUUUUUUUGUCUAACUAACUCCAAAAGGUUGGAAAAGACUUCCUACAAAGGUUUUUGACAGUGAUUUUAAGCCUCACGCCAAAAACCUUAAACCUUAACCUAGCCCCAUAACCUAAUACCCGGCUAUUACCUUCAGGAAGCCCGAACGACCCAAAUAUAUAUUUUUUCUUUUUCUUUUUUUUUUUGGUCAAACUAGCUCCAAAAGGUCUGAAACAUGUUCCUUAAAAAAUAUUGGACAGUGAUUUUAACCCUUACGCCAAAAACCUUAAACCUAAUCCAAGCCCCAUAACCUAAUACUUAAACCUGAAGGGUAUUACCUUCAGGAAGCCCGAACAACCUAAAUAUUUUUUUUUUCAUUUUACAUUUUUUUUUGGUGUAACCAACUCCAAAAGGUCUGAAUCUUGUUUCUUAAAAGGUUUUGGACAGUGAUUUUAACUCUAACACCAAAAACCUUAAACCUUACCCUAGCCCCAAAACCUAAUACCUUCAGGAAGCCCGAAAACCCCAAAUAUUUUUUUUUCUUUUUCCUUUUUUUUUGGUCUAACUAACUCCAAAAGGUCUGAAACAUGUUCCUUAAAAAAUAUUGGACAGUGAUUUUAACCCUAACGCCAAAAACCUUAAACCUUACCCUAGCCCCAAAACCUAAUACCUUCAGGAAGCCCGAAAACCCCAAAUAUUUUUUUCCUUUUUCUUUUUUUUUGGUCUAACUAACUCCAAAAGGUCUGAAACAUGUUCCUUAAAAAAUAUUGGACAGUGAUUUUAACCCUCACGCCAAAAACCUUAAACCUAAUCCUAGCCCCAAAACCUAAUACCCGGGUAUUACCUUCAGGAAGCCCGAACACCCCAAAUAUUUAUUUUUCAUUUUUUUAUUGGUCUAACUAACUCCAAAAGGUUGGAAAAGACUUCCUACAAAGGUUUUGGACAGUGAUUUUAACCCUCACGCCAAAAACCUUAAACCUUACCCUAGCCCCAUAACCUAGGGUAAAGCCCCUUUACCUAAUACCCGGGUAUUACCUUCAGGAAGCCCGAACACCCCAAAUACUUUUUUUUCAUUUAUCUUUUUUUUUGUCUAACUAACUCCAAAAGGUUGGAAAAGACUUCCUACAAAAGACUAACUCCAAAAGGUUGGAAAAGACUUCCUACAAAUGUAAUACAAAGUAUUACCUUCAGGAAGCCCGAACACCCCAAAUAUAUAUAUAUUUUUUUCUUUUUUUUUUGGUCAAACUAGCUCCAAAAAGUCUGAAACAUGUUCCUUAAAAAUAUUGGACAGUGAUUUUAACCCUAACGCCAAAAACAUUAAACCUAAUCCUAGCCCCAUAACCUAAUAAUUAAACCUGAAGGGUAUUACCUUCAGGAAGCCCGAACACCCCAAAUAUUUUUUUUUCAUUUAUCUUUUUUUUUUUUUGUCUAACUAACUCCAAAAGGUCUGAAAAGAGUUCCUACAAAGGUUUUGGACGGUGAUUUUAACCCUUAAACCUUACCCUAGCCC
This is a non-coding RNA of Xyrichtys novacula (pearly razorfish), 13397 nucleotides long. The record is from the annotation of a GenBank genome assembly. Lineage: Eukaryota; Metazoa; Chordata; Actinopteri; Labriformes; Labridae.